GGUGCCAGUAUGCAGACGGGAAAUUUUAUGCGUUCCUUUUUAUGUUAUUAAAUACCAAAUUAAAAGAGAAUGGAUAAUUGUGAUUUUCUAAAAAAGUCCUUCAACCUAUGGUUAAUGUCACAGUAUUUCUGUAGUCCCUCUUAUGUCUGUAAAUAAAAUUAUGGUUCUUCUAACGGAUAAUUUCUUUGUAGAACAUGCAGAUGAGUUUAGUGAAGUUUCCAAUGCAAACAAUGUAAGUCCUCUGAUUUGUAGUUCAUUGAAAUAUUCAAUUAGGCUAUGACGUCUUGUCGUUUGCUAAGAUCUGGGCUUUAUCGAAUGUUACGUUCUUGUACGUGGGAUGACCCGAGAGUUUAUUUGUUCGUUGAUAAGACAUUUGUAGUAAUAGGAUUCACAUAAAAAAUAAUAUUGUUUGCAGCUUUGGUCGCUGGAACAAAGAAUUUGAAGACUUCAGACAUUUCACAACCUCUUUGUAUCUGAAUACGGACUAAGGUCGAACAUAUACAGCGUGUGUCAACUGGUAAAUUCUUCGGUUGAUCAAAGAACGAAAGCAUAAAUGCACAUUUAGUUUGUAUUCCCCUAAUUCCGUCCUCGCUUUAUCCUUCUUUAAAAUCACUCAUGAUUAAAAACGUUAUGAAGGUAAUUUCAAGGCUACUGACUAACGUAUGACUUCGUACUAAACGUUAACAAGAAUGUCAAUUCAGUCAUGAUUUAAAGUUCGAUACAAGCAGUAAUGAAUUUGAUAAGAGGAAAACAUAUGCUCGUUUGUAGUUGUUGGUUUGAAAAAAAGUUAAACUUUAAUGGCUGAUCGAGGAACACUUGGUGGAAUUCCACAGUCUGUAUGAAUUUAAGUGCAUAGUAUGCAAGUUUUUUUGUGAGAAAACAUCACCAAGCCAUGUCUUGUAGUAAGGCAGGAAAUGCAAAACAUAUAUUCCUCAUUAAAGAGACCGGGGAAACAGGGGACGAUUUACUUGUAUACAUACGGCGUAGUAGUACACCAACCGUAAAAGCACAAAACGUUGAUAUGUUGCGAUUGACAUAAGUCGUCCCCCACUAAUACUACAAUCACAUAGUGAGUGAGGUCAUUAUCAUCUAGUUAACCUAAGAGCAGUAGCACUGUCUAUUCAUGCAGCGUAGCAUUAUUCCCAAAAUGAUGUAAAUAAACUCAUCAUAGAUACCAGGACUAAAUUUUGUAUAUACGCCAGACGCGCGUUUUGUCUACAAAAGACUCAUCAGUGACGCUCGAAUCCCAAAAAGUUAAAAUGGCCAAAUAAAGUACGAAGUUGAAGAGCAUUAAGGAACAAAAUUCCUAAAAGAUAUGCCAAAUACAGCUAAGGUAAUCUAUGCCUGAGGUAGAAAAGCCUUAGUUUUUCAAAAAAUCAAAAUUUUGUAAACAGUUAAUUUAUAAAUAUAACCAUAUCAAUGAUAAUUCAUGUCAGCACAAAAGGUGCUGACUACUGGGCUGGUGAUACCCUCGGGGAAAACGUUUUGUCGUAAAGCUGUAUUGAGAAUAUUUCUAAUGUUACUAAAAAAGAACAGUUUUCGCCGAUGUUCAAAUCCUUUCGGAAUAUAUUAAGUAAGAGAAAACCAUCAGGAGUUGGCAUUAAUUUUCAAUAAAGGCAGCAGUAAUAUACCGGUGUUCAAAAGUCAUAAAUCGAUUGAGAGAAAACAAAUCCGGGUUACAAACUAAAACCAAGAGAAACACAUCAACUAUAAUAGGAAAACAAAAGAACAACAUGAACACCUAAGUACAACAAAAACAAACGCCGAUAUGCACAUGAUACAUAGAAGCGGACUAUUUGAUAGUUGCCAUAUUCCUUACUCUGUACAUACGUUUUAAGAAAUAAUGAUGGGUUGGACCUGUUCAAAUUGAUUGACAAACUUCCUGCUUUAUGACCAGGUUAAAAAUAGCGCUAAAAUGAAAACAAAAUACGUGACAGAAAUACAGCACAAUCACACGCAAGAACAUUCAUUAAAGAGCAACGCACAAAUAAAUAAUAUAAUAGUCGACACAUCAUGCAAACCGCAGAACACCAAACGCACAUAUUCCAUCAAACGCGAGAGCAAAUCGCCGCAACAAUAGGUUAAGACUCUGUAAU
This 2096-nucleotide long non-coding RNA is filed under the name Mytilus galloprovincialis (Mediterranean mussel). Lineage: Eukaryota; Metazoa; Mollusca; Bivalvia; Mytilida; Mytilidae. The record is from RNAcentral.